This 710-nucleotide ribosomal RNA is filed under the name uncultured marine eukaryote. RNAcentral's name for it is "SSU rRNA". It matches the Rfam family "Eukaryotic small subunit ribosomal RNA", at positions 618 to 1333 of the family's 1831-position model. The record is from RNAcentral.
GUUAAAAAGCUCGUAGUCGGAUUUCGGGGCGGGGCGACCGGUCUGCCGAUGGGUAUGCACUGGUCGGCGCGUCCUUCUUUCCGGAGACCGUGCCUACUCUUAACUGAGCGGGGGCGGGAGACGGAUCGUUUACUUUGAAAAAAUCAGAGUGUUUCAAGCAGGCAGCUCGCUCUCGCAUGGAUUAGCAUGGGAUAAUGAAAUAGGACUUUGGUGCUAUUUUGUUGGUUUCGAACACCGAAGUAAUGAUUAACAGGGACAGUCAGGGGCACUCGUAUUCCGUCGAGAGAGGUGAAAUUCUCAGACCAAUGGAAGACGAACCACUGCGAAAGCAUUUGCCAGGGAUGUUUUCACUGAUCAAGAACGAAAGUUAGGGGAUCGAAGACGAUCAGAUACCGUCGUAGUCUUAACCAUAAACCAUGCCGACUAGGGAUUGGGGGAUGUUCUAUAUUGACUCCCUCAGCACCUUACGGGAAACUAAAGUCUUUGGGUUCCGGGGGGAGUAUGGUCGCAAGGCUGAAACUUAAAGGAAUUGACGGAAGGGCACCACCAGGAGUGGAGCCUGCGGCUUAAUUUGACUCAACACGGGGAAACUUACCAGGUCCAGACAUUGUAAGGAUUGACAGAUUGAGAGCUCUUUCUUGAUUCGAUGGGUGGUGGUGCAUGGCCGUUCUUAGUUGGUGGAGUGAUUUGUCUGGUUAAUUCCGUUAACG